RNAcentral lists this ribosomal RNA (452 nucleotides) under uncultured bacterium. RNAcentral's name for it is "bacterial SSU rRNA". It matches the Rfam family "Bacterial small subunit ribosomal RNA", at positions 340 to 786 of the family's 1533-position model. The record is from RNAcentral.
UACGGGGGCAGCAGUGGGGAAUAUUGCACAAUGGGCGCAAGCCUGAUGCAGCCAUGCCGCGUGUAUGAAAAAGGCCUUCGGGUUGUAAAGUACUUUCAGUCGUGAGGAAGGUGUUAAGGUUAAUAACCUUAGCAAUUGACGUUAGCGACAGAAGAAGCACCGGCUAACUCCGUGCCAGCAGCCGCGGUAAUACGGAGGGUGCGAGCGUUAAUCGGAAUUACUGGGCGUAAAGGGCACGCAGGCGGUUAAUUAAGUUGGAUGUGAAAUCCCCGGGCUUAACCUGGGAAUGGCAUUCAAGACUGGUUAGCUAGAGUCUUGUAGAGGGGGUAGAAUUCCAUGUGUAGCGGUGAAAUGCGUAGAGAUGUGGAGGAAUACCGGUGGCGAAGGCGGCCCCUGGACAAAGACUGACGCUCAUGUGCGAAAGCGUGGGGAGCAAACAGGGAUUAGAUACC